RNAcentral lists this long non-coding RNA (1982 nucleotides) under Olea europaea subsp. europaea. The record is from RNAcentral. Lineage: Eukaryota; Viridiplantae; Streptophyta; Magnoliopsida; Lamiales; Oleaceae.
GGAUGCUGACAGGAUUAUUCGUUCUAUCCAGGAUUUGUUCACUUCCUGGGGGCAGGUCCAAAUGCCUCGCCCUGCUCCAUCUGAUCGUCCUGCUGCUUCUUCAGAAGAGGACUUGAAAUUCUUGAAGGAGUUGGUAUUUGAAUACGUGUCCUUUAUGGACAUGGACAUUGGAAGGGCUAGUGCUGCCAGACACAAGGAUGAACUUGAGCGCUUGAGUGCGAAGUUAGAGCAAGCACUGACGCUUCCGUCGCUCAAUCUUUCUGCCGACUUUAAAGCGACGUUGAAGGUCAUUCACUCUGAGGUCCUUACUAUGCUGGCCAAGAAUGCUGAACUAAAGGCCAAGCGUACUCAAUAUCUUCGAGCCGUAGCUGAGAAAGAGUCUCUGCGCUUGGAGAUCAACAAGGCUAAGGACGAGUUAAAAGAAAUCUCUUCCGAAGUCAUGAUUGAAGACUCCUUGAUGGUUAACUUGGCUGCUCAGAUGAGGGAACUUCAAGCCAAAAUGGACGAUUGCAGGGCGAGGAUGGCCGCUAAAAAGCGCAACGCCUCUCAGGGAAUUGAGCGAACUAAAUCCUUGGUCGAACAGUACAAGAAGCUGGAGGUUGAUGAUGAUGACGUUGCGGCUGAAUUGAACAUCACUACCUCCCGACAGAACGAGGAUUGGGAAAAACUUAGGGAACGAAUUCGUUCCUUAUGGGGUAGAAUGUAAUUAAGACAUACGAUGUCUUUUCUAUUUUGUAAUUUUGUUCCUUAUUAAUGAACAUUAAUUUCUUGUGCAUUUAUUUGAUGUUUAUUUUCUAAUCAUCAAUUCUUUAAGCAUUUAACUGCUUUGCAUUAAGAAUUUUGUCCAUUCCCUUUUGAUAUUCCCACUACUGUUCCCAAGACUUAGGGCCAUUUAAUUCCGUCUAUUAGNAGUGCGAAAUUAGAGCAAGCACUGACGCUUCCGUCGCUCAAUCUUUCUGCCGACUUUAAAGCGACGUUGAAGGUCAUUCACUCCGAGGUCCUUACUAUGCUGGCCAAGAAUGCUGAACUAAAGGCCAAGCGUACUCAAUAUCUUCGAGCCGUAGCCGAGAAAGAGUCUCUGUGCUUGGAGAUCAACAAGGCUAAGGACGAGUUGCAAGAAAUCUCUUCCGAAGUCAUGAUUGAAGACUCCUUGAUGGUUAACUUGGCUGCUCAGAUGAGGGAACUUCAAGCCAAAAUGGACGAUUGCAGAGCGAGGAUGGCCGCUAAAAAGCGCAACGCCUCUCAGGGAAUUGAGCGAACCAAAUCCUUGGUCGAACAGUAUAAGAAGCUGGAGGUUGAUGAUGAUGACGUUGCGGCUGAAUUGAACAUCACUUCCUCCCGACAGAACGAGGAUUGGGAAAAACUUAGGGAACGAAUUCGUUCCUUAUGGGGUAGUUUGUAAUUAAGACACACGAUGUCUUUUCUUUUUUGUACUUUUGUCCCUUAUUAAUGGACAUUAAUUUCUUGUGCAUUUAUUUGAUGUUUAUUUUCUAAUCAUCAAUUCUUCAAGCAUUUAACUGCUUUGCAUUAAGAAUUUUGUCCGUUCCCUUUUGAUAUUCCCAUUACUGUUCCCGAGACUUAGGGCCAUUUAAUUCCGUCUAUUAGACAGAAAUGUGGCUGUUCAUAUUCUGUCUCUUCAUCUUCACCCCCUUAUAAAUGUUUAACAUUUUUCAUCCUCUAUCUUCAUCUCCCCAUUUUCUUAUUCGAAACCAAUUUGCUGCCAUUUCUUGGCAUUCUGACGAUCUAUCUGAUCCGAAAAUGGACUGUUUAGUCCGUCCGCCUUAUAUUUACUUUGAUGUCACCUUUGGUAUGGGAGGUAUAGGAAAUGUUCUCUGGCCCGCAGCGAAGUUUUUUCCUGCAAAGUUCUUCCCAUCGUCUCUUUGUUCUUCAUAAGGAGUCAAUGAUGGAAGGCAAUUUUUGGGCUGCUCAUGGGCCAUUUUGCUUGCUGAGAGUGCUUCUCAGCUUGCUUGCUGAGAGUGUUU